UUUGCUGACGAGUGGCGGACGGGUGAGUAAUGUCUGGGAAACUGCCUGAUGGAGGGGGAUAACUACUGGAAACGGUGGCUAAUACCGCAUAACGUCGCAAGACCAAAGAGGGGGACCUUCGGGCCUCUUGCCAUCAGAUGUGCCCAGAUGGGAUUAGCUUGUUGGUGAGGUAACGGCUCACCAAGGCGACGAUCCCUAGCUGGUCUGAGAGGAUGACCAGCCACACUGGAACUGAGACACGGUCCAGACUCCUACGGGAGGCAGCAGUGGGGAAUAUUGCACAAUGGGCGCAAGCCUGAUGCAGCCAUGCCGCGUGUAUGAAGAAGGCCUUCGGGUUGUAAAGUACUUUCAGCGGGGAGGAAGGUGUUGUGGUUAAUAACCACAGCAAUUGACGUUACCCGCAGAAGAAGCACCGGCUAACUCCGUGCCAGCAGCCGCGGUAAUACGGAGGGUGCAAGCGUUAAUCGGAAUUACUGGGCGUAAAGCGCACGCAGGCGGUCUGUCAAGUCAGAUGUGAAAUCCCCGGGCUCAACCUGGGAACUGCAUUCGAAACUGGCAGGCUUGA
This 565-nucleotide ribosomal RNA is filed under the name Salmonella enterica. RNAcentral's name for it is "bacterial SSU rRNA". It matches the Rfam family "Bacterial small subunit ribosomal RNA", at positions 84 to 645 of the family's 1533-position model. Lineage: Bacteria; Pseudomonadati; Pseudomonadota; Gammaproteobacteria; Enterobacterales; Enterobacteriaceae. The record is from RNAcentral.